GAUGAAGAACGUAGCGAAAUGCGAUAAGAAGUGUGAAUUGCAGAAUUCAGUGAAUCAUCGAAUCUUUGAACGCACAUUGCGCCCCAUGGUAUUCCGUGGGGCAUGCCUGUUCGAGCGUCAUUUACCCCCUCAAGCUCCGCUUGGUGUUGGGCGUCUGUCCCGCUUCGCGCGCGGACUCGCCCCAAAGGUAUUGGCAGCGGUCGUGCCAGCUUCUCGCGCAGCACAUUGCGCUUCUCGAGGCACCGGUGGGCCCGCGUCCAUCAAGCUCACCCCCCCAGUUUGACCUCGGAUCAGGUAGGGAUACCCGCUGAACUUAAGCAUAUCAAUAAGCGGAGGA
RNAcentral lists this unclassified non-coding RNA (337 nucleotides) under soil metagenome. RNAcentral's name for it is "partial contains 5.8S ribosomal RNA, internal transcribed spacer 2, and large subunit ribosomal RNA". The stretch from base 1 to 120 matches the Rfam family "5.8S ribosomal RNA", at positions 35 to 154 of the family's 154-position model. The record is from RNAcentral.